This 67-nucleotide transfer RNA is filed under the name Marmota monax (woodchuck). Its description in RNAcentral is "tRNA.Ala". The record is from RNAcentral. Lineage: Eukaryota; Metazoa; Chordata; Mammalia; Rodentia; Sciuridae.
GGCUUUAGCUCAGUGGCAGAGCACUUGCCUAGCAUGUAUGAGGCACGGGGUUCGAUCCUCAGCACCA